AGUCGGUGUGAGCAGUUCUCUCGGUGAGAGGCUACGGGAAAAAUCGAGAAAAAUCGGCUUUUCGUGAGUUUUUCGGCAUUUUUGUCGGCCAGAAAGGAAAAUACGGCCGCCGCUCGCGCGUGUGUGUUGGUGCUUCUUCUGGUGCCUGGUGCCUGCUUCUGUGUUGUUGGUGUGUGUGCGAGUGUGCGUGCGUCGUGUGUGUGUGUGUGUAUAUUUGUAAAGGAGAAAUUGUAACAAACCGGUUCUUCUUCUACUUCUUGUACCACCACCAACAACAACAACAACCAACCAACAAAUACACGAUUUUUUUGAGAAGAAUCACAAAACCAAAUAUCUAGAAAAAAAAAUCGCAUCAAAAUCGUUAUUCGUUUCGCCUCCGAAAUAAAAGGACGAAGGAUAUAAACUAUCCAAUAAAACCUAUCAAAAUCAUCCCAAAAAACAACAAUCGUUGCAUUUUUUUUUCUGUGUCCCAAGCCCAAGAGAAAAAUUUCUUCAAUGUGAGCCAAAGUGCAAAAAAAAAAGAAAAAUUUAAGAAAAAUUAAAAUAAAGUUCAAGAAUCAAAGAAGAGAGUGCCAAAAGUAAAAAAAUAUUAAUAUUUCAAUUCAUUUCAAAAAUCUUUAAAAAGGAGUACGAGAAACAAAACAAAAAUUGCGAAAUACUUACCGAAAUUUUCACAAAAAUAAAAAUUCUAUAAAGACUCCUAAGAAUUAAGGAGGAAAGCUAAGCCGGCGAACUUUGGGCAACUUUUGCGCCUCCAUUGGAUGCGAAGAGGGCCGCCUACAGUCCAGAACCGAGGACCGAGAACCAAGAGUCCAGGUGGAAAAACAAAGGUACCGUAACCAAGUAAUUGAACAGCAACAAUAGACAAGGAUAAGGAUAAGGAUACAGCCAAGGAGUAGCUGAAGCUGGAGGAGAGAAAAACAUCAAAAAUAAAACAUAAACAGACAGUUUUUAAAGCUCGGGCUUGAAGGAAACUAGAAAACUUAAAGGAGACAGGAGGUACUUUGUAUUUUGUCGUACAGCGUUACUGGAACAAUAUUUUCGAUGAUGCUCGUCCAGCUCUCCAGUUGCAGUGGUCGCUUUUAAUUCCAAAAAGUCACUAAAACCCAAAACGAAAUUAAUAUUUUGAGGACGAAGAAUAGUUAGCCGAGAGCGGUGUACGACAAACCCGGAGACAUGUAUCCAAGCGGAGGCAGUGGAGCAGCAACGGCUGCCAAGUUCCAGAAUCGCUGCGGUUCGCCGCAGUUCGCCAGCGACUAUCCGCAUCCGCAUCCGCAUCAGCAUCCGCAGACCACAUCGGUGGCCAUACACACGGCGCCGUCGGGCGGCGACCGCACCACCGGUGCUGUGAGUGGUGGCGGGUCCAUGAGGUCGGCACAGAGGGCCCAGCAGAUGACCUUGAGCCACGGUCAUGGCGCGUCGCACAAUCACGGCCUGGGCAUGGGAAUGGUGGGCCACGGAAUGGGAUCACAUGGCCACGGCCACGGCCAUGGACACGGGCACGGGCAUGGCCACUCGAACGCCGCCACUCUGGGCCACCCGCACAACCACGGGAUGAGCCAUGUGGGCUCCCACCUGAUCUAUCCGGACGACAUGGACAGCAUCGAGUUUUGCAUGCCGACACCGCCCUCCUCGUCCGCCCAGAACGGCCUCGGCGGAGACCAGUUUCUGCUGGGCAGCGGAGGACACGACGAGGCAUUCCGCUACCAGGAGCGCUGGCAGAGGAACUACAGCCGGAGGAGCAACCACAAAAUGGAACAGCAGGUCAAGUGGUCACGCAAGAACAUAGCCGCCACCAUGGAGCGCUUCGAGCCGACGCCCAACACCCAGAGCUCGUCCUCCACCUCCUCGCUGGACUACGGAUUCGCGGCCGGAGUGAUGACUCCCAGCAGCAACAGCGCCACGCCCUCGCACGGCGGAGGCGGCGGAGCCGGAGCCUCGAAUCCCUCGCUGCACGUGGCAUUCAACGGAAGCGGUGGCGCCGCCGGAGGAUCGGUUGGAUCGGGCUCGGGCUCGAUAGGAUCGGAAUCGGGAAUAGGCGCCGGAGUCGGUGCCGGGGCUGGGGUCGGGGUAGGAGCCGUGGGCGGAACAGCUACUGCGGCAGCGCCCUUCAACCACGUCUACUCGUACGCCUACUACGAGCCGGGGGCCGCCAAGUGCCACACGAACGUGCCGGCCCAGGGAUCGGCAGGGAGCAGCGGAUCGGGCUCGGCAUCCGUGUCCGGAUCGGUGCAGAUGCUGCCCCGGCAGCCGGAAAAGAGCCCGCCCCGGAACUCGAUACGGGCGCUGCUGGCCAAGAGCUUCCGCUCCAAGAGCAGCUCCACCGGCCACGGGCACGGCCAGAGCACCUCCAGUUCGCCGAGCGCCGAGGAGCGCGACCGCCACACGUAUACCACGCGGUACGGCACGACGGAGAACCUGUACGAGGAGGUGAGCGACCAGAAGAUCCGCAAGGUCCUCUCCGACAACCGGAUCGCCAGCGCCUCCAGUGUCGGCAACGUGAAGGAGGAGCAGCGGCGGGUACAGAACAACCACUUCCGGGUCCUGGACGAACUCAACCUGUCGCUGGAGGCCCUGAUCAUGCCCCCGACUCCGCCGGACAUCAGUCCCAAUCAUGCCGCCGGCGACGAGCCGAACAUAGCCAGUGGCGCAGUCGGUGGGGGCCAUUCCGUGUCCACCACGGCGGUGGUCACGCCACUGCCCUCGUCCGCCGGCAAGAUCAACCAGCGACCGCGGCGCGGCGGCCUGCUAGGUGGGGCCUCGAAUGCCGGGGGCGCCUCCAACUCCAGUUCCGCCUCGCACGCCAGCCUGGAGAACCUAUCGAGCACCCUGAACAGCAUGGAGUUGAAGGAUCACGGCCACAGCAGCUGCAUCAACCCGGAGUUCGACGAAGGAGACCUCGACUCCGGGUUCAGCGGCAGCGGCAGCAGCAGCGGCGCCAGCUACAACGAGAGCUUGCGGUACUACAAGUCGGCCACGCCCACCGGCCCCAUGCACCACCAGGGCCUGCACCACCAGGGCAUGCCGCACCACCACCACCACCACCAUCACUCGCUCAACAACAACACCUUGCCGCACAACCUGAGGAGCUGCCGAUCCUCGACGGCGUCGGGCACCUCCACCUCCAAGAGCAGCAUGGCCAGCUGCGGCGAGGACCAGGGCAUCGGCAUGACCUUGUCGGUAGGCGGGGGUGGCGGCGGUGUCGGCGGACCGGGCGGUGGCCUGCCGGAGUCUGGUGGCGUGGCUGGGGGUGGCGGCGGCGUCGGCUCCCUCUCGCCCUUCAACUAUCCGCGACGGUGCUCGGCGGAUCAGCAGCGCGCCUCCGGCAGGUCCAUGGGAGGCAUGACCGGAGGCGGCAUCAUCAGCGGCAUGGGCGGUGGCGCCACCACCAUGACCAGUGGCAGCAACGUGGCCCUGUCCACUGGCACGAAACCCAAAAAGAACUUCUGGACCAUGAAACCGUGAUGCUACAAAAAGGCGCUGCGUCACAUUUGCAAGAAAUGGACUAUUGUUAUGGAAUACAAUACAAAGACUGCCUCAUGCCAUGCCAUCCACUAUUACCAUCAACCCAAUAGCUACAGUAGCUUCUAUCAGCAUAAGCAGCUG
Drosophila bipectinata is the source of this 3606-nucleotide RNA transcript. RefSeq lists it as uncharacterized. NCBI's taxonomy places the organism in Eukaryota, Metazoa, Arthropoda, Insecta, Diptera, Drosophilidae. The record is from RefSeq and is a predicted model, not a curated record.